UUAUGCAUGCAAGUCGAGCGAAGCUUUUCAGUAGUUUACUACAGAAAAUGACUGAGCGGCGAACGGGUGAGUAACGCGUGAGCAACCUACCUUAGUUACUGGGAUAGCCCGAGGAAACUCGGAUUAAUACCGGAUAUUCUUAUUUAAUCACAUGAUUUUUUAAGGAAAGGUCAGCCGAACUAAGAUGGGCUCGCGUUCUAUCAGCUAGUUGGUAGGGUAAUGGCCUACCAAGGCUACGACGGAUAGCUGGUCUGAGAGGACGAUCAGCCACACUGGGACUGAGACACGGCCCAGACUCCUACGGGAGGCUGCAGCAGGGAAUAUUGCGCAAUGAGCGAAAGCUUGACGCAGCGACACCGCGUGUGGGAUGACGGAUCUAGGUUUGUAAACCACUUUCAGGAGGGAAGAAAAUGACGGUACCUCCACAAGAAG
Molecule: ribosomal RNA, 432 nt
Filed under: uncultured bacterium
Lineage: Bacteria
Description: bacterial SSU rRNA
Rfam family: Bacterial small subunit ribosomal RNA
Source: RNAcentral